This 484-nucleotide ribosomal RNA is filed under the name uncultured bacterium. RNAcentral describes it as "partial 16S ribosomal RNA". It matches the Rfam family "Bacterial small subunit ribosomal RNA", at positions 28 to 507 of the family's 1533-position model. The record is from RNAcentral.
AUUGAACGCUGGCGGCAUGCUUUACACAUGCAAGUCGAACGGCAGCGCGGGCUUCGGCCUGGCGGCGAGUGGCGAACGGGUGAGUAAUGCAUCGGAACGUGCCCAGUAGUGGGGGCUAGCCCGGCGAAAGCCGGAUUAAUACCGCAUACGACCUGAGGGUGAAAUCGGGGGUCCGAAAGGCCUCGCGCUAUUGGAGCGGCCGAUGUCGGAUUAGCUAGUUGGUGGGGUAAAGGCUUACCAAGGCGACGAUCCGUAGCUGGUCUGAGAGGACGACCAGCCACACUGGGACUGAGACACGGCCCAGACUCCUACGGGAGGCAGCAGUGGGGAAUUUUGGACAAUGGGGGAAACCCUGAUCCAGCCAUGCCGCGUGCGGGAAGAAGGCCUUCGGGUUGUAAACCGCUUUUGUUCGGGAAGAAAUCCUCUGGGCUAAUACCCCGGGGGGAUGACGGUACCGGAAGAAUAAGCACCGGCUAACUACGUG